AUACGGAGGGUGCAAGCGUUGUUCGGAUUUACUGGGCGUAAAGGGCGUGUAGGCGGAUAUGCAAGCUGGAGGUGAAAGACCCGGGCUCAACCCGGGAAGUGCUUUGUAGAACUGCAUAUCUAGAGAAAGUCAGAGGCAGGUGGAAUUCCAGGUGUAGAGGUGAAAUUCGUAGAGAUCUGGAGGAACACCGGCGGCGAAGGCGGCCUGCUGGGGCUUUUCUGACGCUGAGGCGCGAAAGCGUGGGGAGCAAACAGGAUUAGAAACCCCAGUAGUCC
This 275-nucleotide ribosomal RNA is filed under the name uncultured bacterium. Its description in RNAcentral is "partial 16S ribosomal RNA". It matches the Rfam family "Bacterial small subunit ribosomal RNA", at positions 523 to 796 of the family's 1533-position model. The record is from RNAcentral.